This 808-nucleotide ribosomal RNA is filed under the name uncultured bacterium. RNAcentral describes it as "bacterial SSU rRNA". It matches the Rfam family "Bacterial small subunit ribosomal RNA", at positions 60 to 864 of the family's 1533-position model. The record is from RNAcentral.
AGUCGAACGGCAGCACGGGAGCAAUCCUGGUGGCGAGUGGCGAACGGGUGAGUAAUGUAUCGGAACAUACCCAGUCGUGGGGGAUAACGCAGCGAAAGCUGUGCUAAUACCGCAUACGAUCUAUGGAUGAAAGCGGGGGAUCGCAAGACCUCGCGCGAUUGGAGUGGCCGAUAUCAGAUUAGCUAGUUGGUGGGGUAAAGGCUCACCAAGGCGACGAUCUGUAGCUGGUCUGAGAGGACGACCAGCCACACUGGAACUGAGACACGGUCCAGACUCCUACGGGAGGCAGCAGUGGGGAAUUUUGGACAAUGGGCGCAAGCCUGAUCCAGCAAUGCCGCGUGCAGGAUGAAGGCCUUCGGGUUGUAAACUGCUUUUGUACGGAGCGAAAAGGCUCUCUCUAAUACAGGGGGCUCAUGACGGUACCGUAAGAAUAAGCACCGGCUAACUACGUGCCAGCAGCCGCGGUAAUACGUAGGGUGCGAGCGUUAAUCGGAAUUACUGGGCGUAAAGCGUGCGCAGGCGGUCUUGUAAGACAGAUGUGAAAUCCCCGGGCUCAACCUGGGACCUGCAUUUGUGACUGCAAGGCUGGAGUACGGCAGAGGGGGAUGGAAUUCCGCGUGUAGCAGUGAAAUGCGUAGAUAUGCGGAGGAACACCGAUGGCGAAGGCAAUCCCCUGGGCCUGUACUGACGCUCAUGCACGAAAGCGUGGGGAGCAAACAGGAUUAGAUACCCUGGUAGUCCACGCCCUAAACGAUGUCAACUGGUUGUUGGGUCUUAACUGACUCAGUAACGAAGCUAACGCGUGAAG